RNAcentral lists this ribosomal RNA (655 nucleotides) under uncultured bacterium. RNAcentral's name for it is "bacterial SSU rRNA". It matches the Rfam family "Bacterial small subunit ribosomal RNA", at positions 83 to 714 of the family's 1533-position model. The record is from RNAcentral.
GAAACUAGUAAAGUGGCGCACGGGUGAGUAACGCGUGGGUAAUCUACCUCCGAAUUGGGGAUAACAUUGCGAAAGCGAUGCUAAUACCGAAUGACAUCUCAAUAACCUCAGUUUUUGAGAUCAAAGGUGGCCUCUCCAUGGAAGCUUCUGUUUGGAGAUGAGCCCGCGUACCAUUAGCUUGUUGGUAGGGUAAUGGCCUACCAAGGCAACGAUGGUUAGCUGGUCUGAGAGGAUGAUCAGCCACACUGGAACUGACACACGGUCCAGACUCCUACGGGAGGCAGCAGUGAGGAAUUUUGCGCAAUGGGGGAAACCCUGACGCAGCAACGCCGCGUGAGUGAUGAAGGCCUUCGGGUCGUAAAGCUCUGUCAAGUGGGAAGAACUUGCCUUUUGCUAAUAUCAAUCGGCACUGACGGUACCACUGAAGGAAGCACCGGCUAACUCCGUGCCAGCAGCCGCGGUAAUACGGGGGGUGCAAGCGUUAUUCGGAAUCACUGGGCGUAAAGAGCGCGUAGGCGGUUUUUUAAGUCAGAUGUGAAAGCCCGGGGCUCAACCCCGGAAGUGCAUUUGAAACUAAGAGACUUGAGUAUGGGAGAGGGAAGUGGAAUUCCUGGUGUAGCGGUGAAAUGCGUAGAUAUCAGGAGGAACACCGGUG